GGAACAGAUAUAAGGGCGCAGGUCAUCUGACUCGCCCCUCUUCUUGUCUCGCCGUGUUCCCUGUCGGAUCGGCUCGCUACUGCUGCUCCCAACUGCAUGCAAGGCUUCAGUAUUAGCGUGACUCGGAAGAAAAUUGAGUGUGUGCCUUUUUUUGCUUCACUAUGAAACAUAAUCAAGGUACUCUGAAGAUCAGUUGGGAGGUGCAGAUGGUUGUGGAAGGCAAAACAAUUUGAGCUGCUGUGUUUACACAGCAAAGAAGGGACUCCAAAGUUAAUACAGAAAUUUACUUUUAACAGCUUUAUAUACUAUUAAUUUUGUAAUCAUGGUCUACUUCUUGUCACAACCUGCCAAUCUAACUUGAGAAAUGUGCAAGUGUUCAGACAAAGAGCUUACUCCACCAGUCUAGAAGCCCAUUAGCAAGCUCAUGAUAGACUACUAUCACCCACCUGUGUGACAGGAAUGUAUAUUGGACUGUUGCACAACCUACCCAGACCUCUGCUAUUCCAAGGGAAACAGUGCACAAUGGGGAAGAAACAGUCUCAGCCUUACAUAUCAGAUUUUAUACUCCUAGAUAUUGCCAUUAAGCAAUGCAGCUUUUGAGUUACACUGAAUACUACCAAGAAUAAAACCAAUUCUCAACUAGUUUCUCAGUAACAGUCAAAAAUUAAUUUUAGUGUCAGAAAUUACCUAGAACAGAAGAGAGAGCAAAGCAGAGAACAACCUAUAUGACUGUAUAAAUCAAUGCUUCAUGCUUGAUUAGUAUGUGCUAUUUUUGUCCAUUCAUCCCAGAAAGGGUGUAGUUGAACUGCAGAAGGUUCAGGUUAGCGGAUACAUUACAAAGUACAAAAAAGCUUCUGUAUGUGAAAUGACUAAAGCAGGAUUAGUUUGAAAACAAGCUGACUCCAAAGAGGCAGAAGGUGCAGAGAUCUCCAGCACUGUCAGGGAUGCAGAGAGAAUAGAGAAGGAUCACUUUCUCCAUUGCUUCUGUGUGGGGGGAAUACAGAACCAAAUGGAACAAGUAAGAACUAGGUCCAGAACAAACAAAAUGAAAUGAGAAUAUUCUCCAUGCAAUGGGUAAUUGAACCAUGAAACUUCUUCCAAAAGAAUAUUGUAGAUGCUGACAAUUUGCAUUUUCAAGUGGAGAUCGGGAUAACUCUUAGAAGAAAAAUCCUUUGUUAAUUACUAAAUUUCAUUCUUACUAAUUUCAAAACCCUAUACAUCAGCCCUAAUGAUUGCUACAAUAUUGGAAACAUUUUGAAUUGAACAGGCAAGAAACUUUUUCCAAAUUCAAAGGAGAAACAAAAACAAAAGAAAAGAAAAAACAGAAAGGAAAAUUUUAAAAUGGUAGAAGAAAGAGUUUAAUUAUGAUUUCAUUUCUUAGUCUCUAUUCCAGCAGCAGCUAUCUCUGAGAAAUAACACAGUGUAUGUAUAAAGAAUGUAUGUCUAUAAUAUGCAGUACAUAGUUAAACAAAACCACCCAGUCUUGAAGUAAAAGAGCAAACACUUGAGGGAGAGAUGCAGACAUACAAUCACAUUAUAUCUCUCUUCACUUCUUCAACCUCAAAUACGCCCUCAUAGUUAGUACUAAUCAAGAAAGCAGGAUUCUCACUACAGUUCUCUUUCUUUCUCUCUUGAAUAUCCCUCAUUUAUUUUGAUGGCCUUAGAUAUGUUGCCUCACAGCCUCACACAAAUUGUCUCAUUUUACUUGUAGUAACAAAGAUAAUUUGGACUGGGUGGAAAUUGAAUCAAUUGGAUUACUAGGGCAGUUCUUGUUAACAUUCAUGUUUUCGGUUUCACCCCUCCUCUCUGGAGGGAAGAAUGCAACUGGCUAUUAUUCCAUUAGUGAUCUUUCCUAUGAAACUAAUAAGCUGACAUCAAACCAAAAAGGUACCAUUUUCUGUCUGCGUAGUCUGGCAACUUCCUCAGUGUUUUAGUGCAAAAAGUCAGGUGGUCUUCAUUUUAGAAUGUGGGAUGCCUUUCUGAUGUAAUGUUUGUCUUCACUUACAGCUGCCUUCCUUUUGCAGUUAUGACAGAUUAUAUUAAAUAUAAAGCAUUUUAACUGUUUUAUAACUAUGCUAUUGCUAUCAGUGAAAGACCAAAAUUACCAGCAAAUGUAAAUAUAUAAAUAUAUUUGUAUAAAAUAUAAACUUUCAGGCAGUCUAAAUAUUCUGAUUACAAGUGAAGGAUUCAUCAUUCACAUAUAGAGUUAACACUACGACAAAUUUAAUUGUUACCAUUUGUUAAGUUUUGAGUUAGAUUCCUCUCUAAACAUAGUAUUGUUAAACUACUUCUUUUUUUUUUUUUUUUUUUUUUUUGUCUUUUUUCUUCUGUUUGUCUGUCUCCCAAAUCCAUACCUUAUUCUAUUUCUUUCAAAAGAAUUAACUGCCACAAAAGCUCUUAGAUUUGUGAGUAAAACUUCCCAUACAGUUUAACAAACUACUUAUUACAAAUCUUCUUUAAGAAAAUCUUGUAUAAAAGUAUGUAGCUUGCAUCUGAAUUUGUAAUGCUGAAUUCACAUUGUUUCACAGGUUUAUAGGAAUAAUAAUAAAAAAAUAUCUGAACUAAGCUUUUCAAGGAACAUCCAUUCCAUUUUGUCUGAAGAUAAAGCUGCAGUUUAGAAAUCAUAUGUCUACAGAAACUUCUCUGAUCAAACAGCUGGAGUAUUCCGCAUCACAACAUCAUGCAGUGUACUGGGAGUUGAAGAGCAAAUGCUUUAGUUCCGGGUACGUGUCUGGAAGCGAAGAAGAACUACAUUCCCCAAGAGCCUUUUCGAGUACUGUUAUCAUUCCUGCUCAAGGGAACAGAUAUAAGGGCGCAGGUCAUCUGACUCACCCCUCUUCUCGUCUCACCGUGUUCCCUGUCGGAUUGGCUCACUACUGCUGCUCCCAACUGCACACAAGGCUUCAGUAUUAGCAUCGUUGCUGCUGUUUUUAUUUUGGGGUCCCCUAUUUCCCUUCCUGGAGGUGUGGAUUUUGCAAAAUCCCUCCGCCCCACUAGUCACAGAACCGGACCGGACAGCCCCUUAAACCAUUGACAAAUUAUAAUUUACGUCCAGGGACAUACAUUCUGGUCUUUGAAACAACAAUUUCAGAAAAAAACGAACACCAAAAACACAAGAAAUCCAACCAGGAAUAGAAAACAGGUAUUCAGAGCAAUUUCUUCAGUGACACAAUGCUUAACUGUUCCUGGGUUCAUGGAAGCCAUGCUGCUCAGGAGGUAUAGGAGGCCAGGCAAAGGUCUUAAUCUUUGCUUACAAGUGACUUCAUGUUCUCUCUUGCAUCAAGCCUACAUGAUAUGGGUUUUACAUCAGGUCUCCCAGAGCUUCAUGCAGCAUUGACUCCUCAUAACAGAAACCUCCUGUUCAUACUUCAGAUGAGACAGUGUUGUACAGAGCCAAGGCCAUUCACAGUGAAGGGCCCAAGAAGCUGGGAAGGAACAGAAUUAGGACAGCUGACUUAAACUGGACAAAGUGAUAUUCCAUGCCAUAUGACAUCAAGUGAAAGGAGUUUUGAAGGGGGUAAUGAAGUUGGGAAAGAUUAGCAACUGACUAGAAAAAUAUAACAUUUCCAAAAUCAAUACUCUUGUUGACAGCUGACAUGGGAUUCACCCUUAAUUCUGAAACAGUUUUACUCAUAGUUCUCAUCCUGAUGAGGAAUUACAACCAACAUGAUGUAUCAUGGAAAAACAACUUAAGGGGCUGCAAGCAAUCCAGGACACUCCUGCAUUCUGUUGAGUAUAACUUUCUGGUCCAAGUAUUGGACAAACCAACCAGAGGAGAUGCAUUACUGAACCUACUGCUAACCAAUGGCAAUCAGUUCAGUAAAGAGAUUGAGAUUGGAGGCAGUCUGGGCUGUAGUGACCAUGCCCUGGUUGAGUUUGUGAUCCCAAGGAAUGUGGGCCUGUCAAGGAGCAGAGUCAGGACUCUGAACUUCAGAAGAGCAAACUUCCAGCCAUUUAAGGAAUUACUGGUUAUGAAAACUGUCUUUAGGGACAAAGGAACAGAACAGAUCUGUCGGUUCUUCAAGAAUACCUUUCUAGGAGCACAAGAGCUCUCCAUCCUCCAGCAUAAGAAAUCUGGAAAGGGAGGCAGGAGACUGGCAUGGCUGAAAAAGUACAUCCAGGUCAAACUGAGGAAUAAAAAUGAAAUGUGCAGGCAGUGGAAGCAGGAAUGUGUGACCUGGGAAGAAUACAGGGAUGCCAUCCAGAUGUGCAGAGGUGGGAUCAGGAAAGCCAAGGCACAGAUGUAACUAGACUUGGGACAUCAAAAACAAUGAGGGAUUCUACAGGUAAAUUGGUCAGAAGAGAAAAGGCAAGGAGAGUGUCACUCCUCUGAUAAAUGAGAAGAGAGAAAUGGCAAAAACAGACAUGAGGAAAGCUGAGGCAUUGCCUCAGUUUACAAUGGCAUUCUGGCUUCUUGUGUCUCUCAAGUCCCUGAACAUCUAGGCAGGGGUAAGUGGAGCUAAAUCCCCCCCAUUGUGAGCAAUGAACAAGUUUGAUUCCACUUGAUGAUAACAUGUAUCCUAGGGUCCUGAAGGAUCUGGAAAAAAAGGUGACUAGAAAAAAGAGAAACAUUACUCACAUUUUUAAGAAAGGGAGAAAGGAAGAUCUGGAAAACUACAGAAUGGUGACCUUCACCUCUGUGUCUGAGAAGAUCAGGAAAUAGAUCUUUGUGGAAAACAUGUUAAGGCACAUAUGAGACGAGGAGGUGAUCCAAUACAUCCAGCAUAGCUUCAGCAAGAGCAGAUCAUUCCUGACCAAUUUGAUGGGCAACAGAUGUUGUCUACCUGGACUUCUGAAAGGCCUUUUACAUGGUCCCACACCACCACAUCCUUGUCUCUAAAUUGGAGAUAGACAGACUUGAAGGGUGGACUAUUCAGUGGAGAAAUAAUUGGUUUGAUGGUCCAAGUGGAGGCUCUUGAUGAGUGGUGUCCCACAGUGUUCUGUCUUGGGAUAGGUGCUUUCUGAACAUCUUCAUCAGUGACCUAGACUAUGGGGCCGAGUGCACCCUCAGCAAGUUAGCAGAUGACACCAAGCUGAGUGGUGCAGUUGAUACCAUAGAAGGAAAACAUGCCAUCCAGAGGAACUUGAACAGGUUUGAAAAGUGGUCUCAUGGGAACCUAAUGAGGUUUAACCAAGCCAAGUCCAAAGUGUUACAGUUGGGUCUGGUCAAUCUCAGAUAUGUUUACAGUCUGAGAGUAGAACUCAUUGAGACCAGCCUUGUGGAGAAGGGACUGGGGGUUCUGGAGGAUAAAAAGCUUGACAUGGUCCAGCAGUGUGCACUUGCAGCCUGAAAUUGUAUCCUGGGCUGAAUCAGCAGAGAAGUGGCCAGCAGAGUGAAGGGGGUGACUGUCUAUUUCUUCUCUGCUAUUAUGAG
This 5374-nucleotide long non-coding RNA is filed under the name Gallus gallus (chicken). RNAcentral's name for it is "lncRNA (ENSGALG00010000896.1)". The record is from RNAcentral. Lineage: Eukaryota; Metazoa; Chordata; Aves; Galliformes; Phasianidae.